CGUUCAGGGGUAAACCUGAGAAACCCAAAAGAUCGAAUGGGGAGAUUCAUCGUCAGCGAUUUUGGUACGUGUGCGGUUCGCGAUGCCGGAGACUAAUUCGGUCUCAUGGUACGCGUUCGCAUGUUUUUUAUUGCCAUUAUCGUCGGCGUGCACUUCUCCCCUAGUAGGACGUCGCGACCCGUUGGGUGUCGGUCUACGGCCCGGUGUGUAGCCUGUCACGUGUGCGCUUCACGGCGUUACGCGGUACAGACACUCGGUUGCCCGACCGGCUGCCCGGCGGUACUCGCACGGUAUCUGGCCGCAAAUAUUCGAACUGCGUCCGGCCCGUCGCAAGCGAGGCAAGUGUUCCCGGCUGUACGGAUCUAAUGCCGUCACCGGGCCUUGCCAGCUGUUGGCUGACGGUGUCCUAGGACAGGCUAACCAAAAUUAUGAUACCGGUCGGCGACGCUACUGCUUUGGGUACUUUCAGGACCCGUCUUGAAACACGGACCAAGGAGUCUAACAUGUGCGCGAGUCAUUGGGAACUAUUAAGCCUAAAGGCGCAAUGAAAGUGAAGGUCGGCCUUGCGCCGACCGAGGGAGGAUGGGCCGCGUCACGAUGCGGUCCCGCACUCCCGGGGCGUCUCGUUCUCAUUGCGAGAAGAGGCGCACCCAGAGCGUACACGUUGGGACCCGAAAGAUGGUGAACUAUGCCUGGUCAGGACGAAGUCAGGGGAAACCCUGAUGGAGGUCCGUAGCGAUUCUGACGUGCAAAUCGAUCGUCGGAACUGGGUAUAGGGGCGAAAGACUAAUC
RNAcentral lists this ribosomal RNA (792 nucleotides) under Javra sp. BFS-2018. RNAcentral describes it as "partial 28S large subunit ribosomal RNA". It matches the Rfam family "Eukaryotic large subunit ribosomal RNA", at positions 406 to 936 of the family's 3401-position model. The record is from RNAcentral. Lineage: Eukaryota; Metazoa; Arthropoda; Insecta; Hymenoptera; Ichneumonidae.